AAAACAGAGAUGAACGCUAGCGACAGGCCUAACACAUGCAAGUCGAGGGGCAGCACAGUGUAGCAAUACAUAGGUGGCGACCGGCGCACGGGUGAGUAACGCGUAUGCAACCUGCCUACAACAGGGGGAUAACCCGGAGAAAUCCGGACUAAUACCGCAUAAAACAGGGGUCCCGCAUGGGAGUAUUUGUUAAAGAUUUAUCGGUUGUAGAUGGGCAUGCGUUCCAUUAGUUGGUUGGUGAGGUAACGGCUCACCAAGACGUCGAUGGAUAGGGGAACUGAGAGGUUUGUCCCCCACACUGGAACUGAGACACGGACCAG
This 320-nucleotide ribosomal RNA is filed under the name uncultured Porphyromonadaceae bacterium. RNAcentral describes it as "bacterial SSU rRNA". It matches the Rfam family "Bacterial small subunit ribosomal RNA", at positions 28 to 334 of the family's 1533-position model. The record is from RNAcentral. Lineage: Bacteria; Pseudomonadati; Bacteroidota; Bacteroidia; Bacteroidales; Porphyromonadaceae.